GUGAAUCAUCGAAUCUUUGAACGCAAAUUGCACUCACCGGUUUUCCGGGAGAGAAUGCUUGUUUGAGGGUCAGCUUAAAAAAAUCGACAUUGUUGAUGUUAUAUGGUGACUUUCGUCGGAGCAGUGUUAUUUUAAAUAUAGGUUUAAGCGACUUAAAAAUUUUUUUUACGUUUUUAAGAAUGUUUCUAAGAUUUUUCUUGUAUGUUUAUGGUAUCGAAUGAAUUAUUAGACGUGACAGUCAUAUCGGAU
RNAcentral lists this unclassified non-coding RNA (249 nucleotides) under Glomus sp. RNAcentral describes it as "partial contains 5.8S ribosomal RNA and internal transcribed spacer 2". The stretch from base 1 to 72 matches the Rfam family "5.8S ribosomal RNA", at positions 84 to 154 of the family's 154-position model. Lineage: Eukaryota; Fungi; Glomeromycota; Glomeromycetes; Glomerales; Glomeraceae. The record is from RNAcentral.